CCUACGGGUGGCAGCAGUGAGGAAUAUUGGUCAAUGGACGAGAGUCUGAACCAGCCAAGUAGCGUGAAGGAUGAAUGCCCUAUGGGUUGUAAACUUCUUUUAUAUGGGAAUAAAAUGUUCCACGUGUGGGAUUUUGUAUGUCCCAUAUGAAUAAGGAUCGGCUAACUCCGUGCCAGCAGCCGCGGUAAUACGGAGGAUCCGAGCGUUAUCCGGAUUUAUUGGGUGUAAAGGGAGCGUAGGUGGAUUGUUAAGUCAGUUGUGAAAGUUUGCGGCUCAACCGUAAAAUUGCAGUUGAAACUGGCAGUCUUGAGUGCAGUAGAGGUGGGCGGAAUUCGUGGUGUAGCGGUGAAAUGCUUAGAUAUCACGAAGAACUCCGAUUGCGAAGGCAGUUCACUGGACUGCAACUGACACUGAGGCUCGAAAGUGUGGGUAUCAAACAGGAUUAGAUACCCCUGUAGUC
This 460-nucleotide ribosomal RNA is filed under the name uncultured bacterium. Its description in RNAcentral is "partial 16S ribosomal RNA". It matches the Rfam family "Bacterial small subunit ribosomal RNA", at positions 338 to 795 of the family's 1533-position model. The record is from RNAcentral.